CACUCACUUUCACGUUCAUCUCCAACCCAGCUUGCCAACAAAUCUCUAGUGCUGUCAACAUGCCUCAUUAUUCAGCUUGGAAGGCACGACAAAAGUCCAGAUUCCUUGAAAGACCCAUCAACAACUCCCCUUCCAGUUCCUUACCACCCUACCACAGCCUGCAUUUCCCUCAACAACAUGACUUGCUCUAUCAAUAUUGACAUUCCUCCACCCAUGCUCAGGAGGUACCCAACAGAUAAAACCUUUUAAUGGCUCGUAGUUUAAGCUCUUCAUCUCUUGUGUUGAGCUCCGCAGCCUUCAACUUUUGGUUGGCCUUUGUCUGUCCAGCCAUUCUCUCUUCGGAUCCCCUCUAAGGCACAUGGCUUGUUAGUAGACAAAUACGCUGCAACUGGGUAACAAAAGGUGCCGGUAGAGUGAGGACAAACAAAGUUCAGAAGCUAAAAGUGUGGUUGAACUCACAAAUGGCUCAUCUGGUGAGCAAACUUGGUGGUAGACAAAUAUGCUGCAACUGGGCAUAAAAGGUGCUGGUUCUAGUGAGGACAAUCAAAGUUCAGACGCUAAAAGUGUGGUUGAACUCACAAAUGGCUAUUCUAGUGAGUAAAUUAUACUGUAUUUUCAAAAAGUACAAUGUCGAUGGACAAUUUUAUUUCUCUAUUCAGCUUAUGUAUUUCCUUUUUAAUGAUGGGUUUUGAUGUUUUUUUUGUAUUUCCUAGCAAUCUUUUGUGUUUUUUUUCCCUUUCAAAACAUUCAUAUAUAUGUAGUCGGAGUUGUAAAUAAAUUGUAAAAGCAGUGUUUGUUGAUAUUGAUAUCUCAUUUGUUGCAUUUUGUUCUCCUUGUUAAUAUAUGGGGACUGCCUGGAAUGUUCUUCUCUCAUGGUGCAGUAGAUGGCAAGGAGACAAGUAACAGUGAUGACCCAGAGAAUAAUCCUCAAUAUACUACUGUCUAUAUGGGAAACAUUGCACCGUUUUCAUCAUUUGUAUGUUGGAUUUAGUGCAAACGUUGUUGACCAUCGACAAUUCUGGGGAAUGGUCUGGUAGCUUUUGACGGCAAUACAAUUGACGUUUCAAAGUUCACUUUCAAUAGUUGCAUUGCUGAAAUUUGUACUUUAGCUGUCCCUGAUUUAAUGACUUUCUGUUGGAAUGUCUUUCCUUUUUGACCACUAGGUUGGAAGUGUUGGUAUAGUGUAGGAAGUAGUGUAUUGGGCAUUAGCCCAGGCCCAAGUUUGUGUAGUCAGUGCACACGUGCUUGAGAUCUUGAAUGAACAAUCUGGAAUAUUUUUCUUUUUAGCUAGUCCACUGACAGGAAGUACAAGAAUGACUCGCCUUCCAGGUUCAUCUUUUGUUCUUUUAAUUCAAUAUAUAGGUUAUGUCAAGUUGUUACCUGUCCAUUGAAUUUUGUGACAGUUGUGAUUCUAAUCAUGAACUUUGGCUAUUGUGCAGGUAACCCAGCUUGAUCUCCAUCGCCGCCUCCAUAAUCUUGGGGCUGGUUCGAUAGAGGAGGUUUGAGUCCAGCGUGAUAAAGGGUUUGGUUAUGUGAGGUGCAGUUCUCAUGCUGAAGCAGCAAUGGCUAUUCAGAUGUGGAAUACCCAGUCUUUUCUCUUGGGCAAACAAAUUAAGAAUGUAAGGGUGGUAGGACAGGAUUGCAUAUAUUUUGUCUUAUCAGAGUGAUGGGCCACUAAAAAAUUAAUGGUGCAUCGCGCACUUUUAUCAGGUGGGACAGCGUUGCAUGAAAUAGGCCUAGCAGGCAUCAAAUGAGGAUCCUAGCUAUGUAAUUAUGACAGGUGGCUGGGAGCAGAGCAAGAGAGCGUGCGUAGUGAGAAUGGCUGAGAGGGAUGGUAGGGAAUUUUCCAGGUCAGGAGAGCCUGGCCUCUGAAAAUCUAGGAGUUAUUGCCCUCAUCCUCUCCUCUUUAUAGUUUCCGUUACUUGUGAUGUUUUCUGCUAAUCCAUGCAUUAGCAGAAUCAUUGGUAUUCUGUUUUGAAUGUAAUUCAUUGAUAAGUUCGGGCUCACCAUAAAGCUUGAUUCCCAGCCUAUAUUUGACAGUUUUUUUUCCCCAUCAUAUUGAUGUUUUCAUUAUCUUGAUCUCUAAGGUUAAUGUUUGUGUUGAACUGAAGUAGGUUUAUCUUGUACUGUGUGAGUCAGGAUUGGACUAAUAGCCCAUUUAGUAUAUCUAUAUGUUAGCGGGCACUGGCAUGUGUCUAAUUAGAUUUCUUAUAUUGUGUACCGGUAAGGUCUAGUUGGUUAGGAUUA
Long non-coding RNA from Prosopis cineraria, 2247 nucleotides. RefSeq lists it as uncharacterized. The record is from RefSeq and is a predicted model, not a curated record. NCBI's taxonomy places the organism in Eukaryota, Viridiplantae, Streptophyta, Magnoliopsida, Fabales, Fabaceae. The transcript has 4 exons.